This 71-nucleotide transfer RNA is filed under the name Loxodonta africana (African savanna elephant). It matches the Rfam family "tRNA". From Rfam's summary of the family: Transfer RNA (tRNA) molecules are approximately 80 nucleotides in length. Their secondary structure includes four short double-helical elements and three loops (D, anti-codon, and T loops). The record is from Rfam by way of RNAcentral. Lineage: Eukaryota; Metazoa; Chordata; Mammalia; Proboscidea; Elephantidae.
GCACCGGAGGUUCAGUGGUAGAACGCUCGCCUUCCAUGCAGAAGACCAGGGUCUGAUUCCCAGCCAGUAUA